AGAAAGCCUGGGAAAGAUUGGGGGAGGGUGUUUUCGCCCUGUCUUCAGAUGGAAGAUAAUGAGAGCGGCAUGGAGGAUGAGGCAUCCCUGAUUCAUGUCUGGGAAACCAGUGUCCUUCAGUUUUUCAUCCUGAGCCUGGAGGAAGAUGACUGCAUGUGGAGAGGCAUCUGAUACUCACUCUCCCAGGCUCUCCAGUACUUCUCCUUGCCAGGGCCCCAGCUGUGCCUGCAAUGCCAGGUGGCAUCUCCCUGCUUCUGGUGUCUUCUCCUUGUCGCAAGUGGCCGAUGUCUUUCUUCUCAGCUGCAUGCUUCCCCACCUUUCUGACUCCAGCUUUCCCUCCUGGUUCCUGUUCAUCCUGGAAGCUGACCGCGGGCAACAUGCUGAGUGCCUGGCUCCGCUCAGAUCCAGCAGAGUCCACCAUGCACAAGGCUUCUCAUCCAGAGCUGGACUUCAUUCCUCUUGUUGAAGAUUAUCUCACUUCAAUCACGGUAAUGCUGGGACCUUCCAUAAGUCUCCGGGGAAGACCGGCCUGCUCACCUCGGGGAGGCACAAUCGUCAAUCUCAUUAAACUGCCAACUGCUGCUGACUCAGGCCGAGCUUGGAAAGGGCGCCUGCCUCCCGGCUGCUGCGUGACUUCCCCAGAGGCUGCAUGAGGUGGGAUGAAAAUGCGGAGGUGGACCGGAAAAGAAGAUAUCGCUCCCGCCACGCACUGGGCUACAGCAACAGUGGCACCGGAUGAGACUGUCGCUGGGGUUUGCCUGAGACGGUGGAGACACUGAGAACGGGGGCUUAAGCAAGACAAGUUACUUCACUCAAACCCCGGAGUCUGAACUUGCAUGGAAUUCCACUGUUGGAGACUCACCUCCCUCCCGUUGCUCCACUAUUUUCGGGCGCUUCCGCUCACCUUGUGGUCAGGGAGAGAGUCCCAUCACAUCCGUACUCCAGUCGGCUGGAGGAAGAAUGGAAAGGACAGAGUUCCUGAAAGCUGCCUUUCACGCGUGGGUACUGUACCAGAGCAGGAUGCCUCUAGGGCAGCCAUGUCAUCCGGUAAAAUUCAGGUUAUCUUUUAAAGCAGAAAAUAGAUGUAGAGACAAGUAGAUGGUCCCUAUAACCAAGAUGGAGACAGAGCCCUGCUACAGGAAUUCAGCAUGGAGGCAAAUAGCCCACCAAGCAUAAUAUAUUACAUAUUAUGAUAUAAUAUAAAAUCACCAUUCAUCAGGGAAUAUUUUUGUUUGUUUUUUGAGACGUGGUUUCCAAGUGUAGCCUUGGCUAUCCUGGACUUGCUUUUGUAGACCUGGCUGGCCUCGAACUCAUAGAGAUCUGCCUGCCUCUGCCUCCCAGACUGCUGGUAUAACAGGUGUGUGCCAGUGCGCAGACCUCAUCAAGGAAUUUAUAUUAAGGACCAUAGUGUUAAAGAAAUAGAGGUGAAAGUACAGCCUUUCCUUUGCCACUGAGUUCAUGCCAGAGACAGUUCUUGUUCCCCUUACUAGGGAACCCACUUGAUGAGACCUGAUAGGCUAUGGUCAGAUAGAAAGGGAGGAAGAUUGCCCCUAUCUGUGGGACUAGGGAAGGGGCUUAGGAGAAGAAGAGGGAGGGAGGGAGAGACUGGGAGGAGACAAGGGAGGGGGCCACAGCUGGGAUAUA
Molecule: long non-coding RNA, 1644 nt
Organism: Meriones unguiculatus (Mongolian gerbil)
Lineage: Eukaryota; Metazoa; Chordata; Mammalia; Rodentia; Muridae
Exons: 3
Source: RefSeq, a predicted model, not a curated record